UCGUACGUAGCAGAGCAGCUCCC
This 23-nucleotide non-coding RNA is filed under the name Gallus gallus (chicken). RNAcentral also lists the same sequence under 1 other name. The record is from RNAcentral. Lineage: Eukaryota; Metazoa; Chordata; Aves; Galliformes; Phasianidae.